CUAUCAGAGUGAACCGGAAUAGAAAGAGAUGGUGGAGAAGAGAGAUCUUCAAGAAGUCGAACUAACUAGCCCAGUCGGCAUCACAAAAAGCUAGUAGAUUGAGGGAUGGAUCAGAUGACAAGAGUAUUCCUUGACCGGGAUCAGCACAUAAGUACCUUAAGACACGAAAUGCUGCUGAUAAAUGGGAUUCAGUGGGCCGUUGCAUGUAUUGACUGAGGCAGAGAACAACAAAAGAGAGAUAUGGACGUGUCAAGUUUGAGUAUUGUUCUUCGCUGAGGUACUGAGCAUAGUUGUUGUUCCCUGCGUCUACGUAUUGGGCAAUGACAUCUUCAGCUUCCUCCUUUGAUGGUACAGUUUAGCUCCAUUAGACCUUCCAAAUCUCUGCUCCAAGCUGUCCCAAAGCUCCUUAGCAGUUUUAGAGUAGAUCACUCUAUCAGCUAUUUCCUUGGAUAGUGAGUUCAGCAACCAUGACAUCACCAUGUCAUUGCAGCAAUUCCAUUGCUCAUAGUCCACUGCAGUCAGAACAGGAGCUUUGCAAGCACCAUUGAUGAAUCCAAGCUUUUUCUUGGCUGAGAGGGCAAUGAGGAUAGACCUUCUCCCACCUGGAAAACAUUUUCCAUCAAAAGUAGAGUUGAUCAGACUCAUUCCAGGCAAAUUUUAGUUGUGAAGGUGAUAGGGGUGAUUGUGGUGAAGGUUUCACCAUUUCCAGCAGUGGUUUGACUUCCACCAGUGGUUUAAGUUACAGUGGAUUCCCCAGUCAUAUUUGAUUGCAGAAAGUAUGGAAAUGAUUAAUGGAUGUUGAAGAUGAUUGGAUCGAGCUAAAGCUCUGAUACCAUGAAAGAAAAUAAAGAAGAUGGAGAUAGAAAAAUCUUUUGUGUAUCAAUGGAGGAAGAAAGCUUCUCUCCAACAAAACACCCAUAACAACAACUUCAAGCUCUAGUGAAACAACUAGAAAUCUCCGAUGACCCUUCUUUCUUCUUCACAUUUUUGUAUAAAGUAAUGUUAAUUUUUAGACACCAGAUUUUAUUGUUUAUUUUGAUAAAUGUUGCUUUGUUAUUAU
Molecule: long non-coding RNA, 1060 nt
Organism: Solanum stenotomum
Lineage: Eukaryota; Viridiplantae; Streptophyta; Magnoliopsida; Solanales; Solanaceae
Exons: 4
Source: RefSeq, a predicted model, not a curated record